AUCCUUUUGUGAUUCGUAAGUGUGAUGAUUGGGUUUUCACACUAUUGUGUGAGGUAUGCCUCCCUCAAACCUUGUUACAGUGUUGGCACAUUACUGUCUGAAG
Molecule: small nucleolar RNA, 103 nt
Organism: Macaca fascicularis (crab-eating macaque)
Lineage: Eukaryota; Metazoa; Chordata; Mammalia; Primates; Cercopithecidae
Source: Ensembl